UAGGGAUAGUAUAAUAUUGGAAGUACCAUAAGAUUUUGGAUUUUAUGGUGCGGGUUCGAUUAUACUAUCCCCUA
RNAcentral lists this transfer RNA (74 nucleotides) under Tarentola mauritanica (Moorish gecko). RNAcentral's name for it is "tRNA-Gln". The record is from RNAcentral. Lineage: Eukaryota; Metazoa; Chordata; Lepidosauria; Squamata; Phyllodactylidae.